Non-coding RNA from Nasonia vitripennis (jewel wasp), 101 nucleotides. RefSeq annotates it as microRNA mir-33. Lineage: Eukaryota; Metazoa; Arthropoda; Insecta; Hymenoptera; Pteromalidae. The transcript has a single exon. The record is from RefSeq and is marked provisional.
UAUGCAACGAAAAUAUUGUCUGCUACGAGAGUGCAUUGUAGUUGCAUUGCAUGAAUAUUUGAAAGUGCAGUACUUCUGCAGUGCAACCCUUGUGGUUGGCG